Pelobates cultripes (western spadefoot toad) is the source of this 251-nucleotide non-coding RNA. NCBI's taxonomy places the organism in Eukaryota, Metazoa, Chordata, Amphibia, Anura, Pelobatidae. The record is from the annotation of a GenBank genome assembly.
UAGUAUCACACCUAGGACUAAGGAAAACGUCUAACCGGACCUUAGAAUGGCCGGACUUAAACGUACCCAAGAAUAGUCAAAAUACUUGCCGAGGUCAGGGAUAGAGAAUGAGACACAACAAUGAGGGAAAGACAAAAGUCAAGGAUACCAGAAAUCAGCAAAGUCAAAAUGAAGCCAAAGUCAAAAACCAGAAUAAUACAAUCAGGAACACACUCGCUGAUAACUAGCAAAGGGAAACCAAGACAGGGCAC